This 429-nucleotide ribosomal RNA is filed under the name uncultured archaeon. RNAcentral describes it as "bacterial SSU rRNA". It matches the Rfam family "Archaeal small subunit ribosomal RNA", at positions 146 to 576 of the family's 1478-position model. The record is from RNAcentral.
UUAAUACUGGAUAGAUCAAAGAUACUGGAAUGUUCUUUGGCCCAAAACUCCGGUGCCCAAGGAUGGGUCUGCGGCCUACCAGGUUGUAGUGGGUGUAACGUACCUACUAGCCUACGACGGGUAAGGGUUGUGAGAGCAAGAUCCCUGAGAUGGAUUCUGAGACAUGAAUCCAGGCCCUACGGGGUGCAGCAGGCGCGAAACCUUUGCACUGCGGGAAACCGCGAUAAGGGGACCCCGAGUGCCAGCACCUAGUGCUGGCUGUCCCGCUGUUCAAAAAACAGUGGUUAGCAAGGGCCGGGCAAGACCGGUGCCAGCCGCCGCGGUAACACCGGCGGCCCGAGUGGUAGCCGCUAUUAUUGGGUUUAAAGGGCCCGUAGCCGGCCUAUUAAGUCUCUUGGGAAAUCUGGCGGCUCAAUCGUCAGGCGUUCA